Molecule: long non-coding RNA, 1405 nt
Organism: Prionailurus viverrinus (fishing cat)
Lineage: Eukaryota; Metazoa; Chordata; Mammalia; Carnivora; Felidae
Exons: 2
Source: RefSeq, a predicted model, not a curated record
CACAGGCCAGUGGGACCCGGAGCCGGAAGGGAAGGGUCGGAAGGGUGGCAGCAGUUCUCCAGAAGAAACCAGAGAGGGGGCGCCUGGCUGGCUCAGGCGGAAGAGCAUGUGACUCUUGAUCUCAGGGUCGUGAGUCAAGCCCCACGUUGCGCAUAGAGCUUACUUAAACCAAAAUUCAAUUGUAUUUCUAUACAACAGCAAUAAACAAUCUGACAAUUAAAUCAGGAGAAACAAUUCCAUCAAAGAGAAAGAAAAAAAAAAGAAACCAGAGAGGAUGCGAGACACAGCUCCGUAAGGAAAUGUGAAAAUGUGUCACCAAACAGCGAGAUGGCUUUCACAGCUGAGCUGGCCCUUUGUUUAAAAAAAAACAGGGCUACCAGAUGGAACUGGUAGGCUGCAGAGGAGGGGCCUCGUUGUCCAGGGUCCUAUGGGAAGUAGGAGCACCUUUGAGCCCACUCCCUCUCUGAGACCCAGGCCAGCACAAAACCUGCCCCUGCACCGGUCUCAUUCAGGAUAAAUCGAGAGGUUGGAAUCCUGGAUCACCCGAGGGCAAUGUUAUCAUCUCCUGACUAAGCAAACACGUCAGUGGCGUGGAGCGGGCAGCCCAGAAGGUGAGGGGCCAAGGGACCAGCGGUUGCUGUGUACAGAUGGUGGGCCGCCCAGAACAUGAGACACAGCACGAGCGAUCUGCGAAGCCCCGCCUAGAACGGGAGAAGCCCUGGACGUGCGGAGGAAUCCUGGAAAAUGGGGCGCGAAGGUGCUACUGUCUUCAGCAGUCCCCAGUCCGAGUUCCUCCGACAGCGGCCGCCUCUACCCUUCCGCCUAAGUUCCACCCCGAGCAAGACGAAAUCAAACUCGUGGACCUGAGGUGCGCCAGUGGGGGAGUCGGGGCUACAUCCGCCCUGGCCCCGAAGCUCAGCCCUACUGGCCUAUCUCCAAGAUAGGUUGGUGAUGACAUCGCCAAGGCAACCAGUGACUGGAAGGGUCUGGGGGUUACAGUGAAACUGACCAUUCGGGACAGGCCCAGAUUGAAGUGGUACCUUCCACCUCCGUCCUGCUCAUCAAAACCCUCAAGGAACCGCGGAGACAGAAAGAAGCAGAAAAAUAUUAAGCACAGCGGCAAUGUCGCUUUUGAUUAGAAUGUCAACGUUGCCUGACAGAUGCGUCACUGAUCUUUAGCCAGAGAACUCUCUGGAACCAUUAAAGACCUCCUGGGGAUGGCCCGGUCUGUGGGCUGCAACACCAAUGGCUACCACCCUCAGGGCACCACCGAGGACAUCGACAGUGGCGCAGUGGGAUGCCCCGCUAGCUAAGAACUACCAAAGGAAAUACUUCCGUGAAGAUCAUUUGGCAACCGAAAAAGGAAAAAGGUGGGACUGUGCAAGCUGCAGGUCAGGGGGGACUC